UACGUAGGUGGCAAGCGUUAUCCGGAAUUAUUGGGCGUAAAGCGCGCGCAGGUGGUUUCUUAAGUCUGAUGUGAAAGCCCACGGCUCAGCCGUGGAGGGUCAUUGGAAACUGGGAGACUUGAGUGCAGAAGAGGAAAGUGGAAUUCCAUGUGUAGCGGUGAAAUGCGUAGAGAUAUGGAGGAACACCAGUGGCGAAGGCGACUUUCUGGUCUGUAACUGACACUGAGGCGCGAAAGCGUGGAGAGCAAACAGG
Molecule: ribosomal RNA, 253 nt
Filed under: uncultured bacterium
Lineage: Bacteria
Description: partial 16S ribosomal RNA
Rfam family: Bacterial small subunit ribosomal RNA
Source: RNAcentral